RNAcentral lists this transfer RNA (75 nucleotides) under Pseudomonadaceae bacterium. RNAcentral describes it as "tRNA-Gly". It matches the Rfam family "tRNA". Rfam says of the family: Transfer RNA (tRNA) molecules are approximately 80 nucleotides in length. Lineage: Bacteria; Pseudomonadati; Pseudomonadota; Gammaproteobacteria; Pseudomonadales; Pseudomonadaceae. The record is from RNAcentral.
GCGGAAGUAGCUCAGGGGUAGAGCAUCACCUUGCCAUGGUGAGGGUCGAGGGUUCGAAUCCCUUCUUCCGCUCCA